Molecule: unclassified non-coding RNA, 202 nt
Filed under: Hevea brasiliensis (rubber tree)
Lineage: Eukaryota; Viridiplantae; Streptophyta; Magnoliopsida; Malpighiales; Euphorbiaceae
Source: RNAcentral
GUUUUGAACUAGAAGUUUCAUAUGCGUUUUUAGAUGCUUCCUACUAUUACUCUAGAAAAAAGAUACCAAAGAGAGCAAUGGCAACACAGAUCAGUUACUUUAAAUUUCAUAUGUUGUGAAAAAUUUUGAAUCUCAGUUAGAAUUUCAUUACUUUAAAAUGCAAUUGUACAAAAAUAAUGUUAAAAUGCUACUUGAAAGAUUU